GACGAACGCUGGCGGCGUGCUUAACACAUGCAAGUGGAGCGACGAACCAGGGCUUGCCCUGGGGCAAAGCCGCGAACGGGUGAGUAUCACGUGGGUAACGUGCCCCGAUGACCGGGACAACCCGAGGAAACUCGGGCUAAUACCGGAUGUGCUGUGUGGCCCCAAGGCCACUCAGUAAAGGAAGCUUCGGCCUCCGCAUUGGGAGCGGCCCGCGGCCCAUUAGCUUGUUGGUGAGGUAAAGGCUCACCAAGGCAACGAUGGGUAGCUGGUCUGAGAGGACGAUCAGCCACACUGGGACUGAGACACGGCCCAGACUCCUACGGGAGGCAGCAGUGGGGAAUCUUGCGCAAUGGGCGAAAGCCUGACGCAGCGACGCCGCGUGAGGGAUGACGG
Molecule: ribosomal RNA, 393 nt
Filed under: uncultured bacterium
Lineage: Bacteria
Description: bacterial SSU rRNA
Rfam family: Bacterial small subunit ribosomal RNA
Source: RNAcentral